AUACUUACCUGGGACAGGAAUACCGUGAUCACGAAAGGGGGUUUUUCCCGGGCGAGGCUCACCAUUGCACUCCGGUGGCGCUGCCCCUGCGAUUAACCCCCAAAAGGGGUUAACUCGAGUGCGCAUUUUUUUUUUAUGGGGGACUGCGUUCGCGCUAUCCCCUA
This is a small nuclear RNA of Penaeus monodon (black tiger shrimp), 164 nucleotides long. RefSeq annotates it as U1 spliceosomal RNA. The record is from RefSeq and is a predicted model, not a curated record. The transcript has a single exon. Lineage: Eukaryota; Metazoa; Arthropoda; Malacostraca; Decapoda; Penaeidae.